This 213-nucleotide ribosomal RNA is filed under the name uncultured bacterium. RNAcentral's name for it is "partial 16S ribosomal RNA". It matches the Rfam family "Bacterial small subunit ribosomal RNA", at positions 143 to 354 of the family's 1533-position model. The record is from RNAcentral.
AUAACCCGGGGAAACCCGGCCUAAUACCCCAUGCCGCCCGGACCGGGCAUCCGGACCGGGCGAAAGGAGGAAUCCGGUGGCGGCUGGGCAUGCGGCGCAUUAGCUAGACGGCGGGGUGACGGCCCACCGUGGCGACGAUGCGUAGGGGUUCUGAGAGGAAGGCCCCCCACACUGGGACUGAGACACGGCCCAGACUCCUACGGAAGGCAGCAG